AGCCUUCUGUAUCCGUGCUGAGAUUUCAUCGGAGAUCAACCCAUUGGGGCUGAUGAUACUUCCCAAGUAAGUGAAGCG
Molecule: microRNA precursor, 78 nt
Filed under: Trichobilharzia regenti
Lineage: Eukaryota; Metazoa; Platyhelminthes; Trematoda; Strigeidida; Schistosomatidae
Description: mir-3492 microRNA precursor family
Rfam family: mir-3492 microRNA precursor family
Source: Rfam by way of RNAcentral